RNAcentral lists this ribosomal RNA (505 nucleotides) under uncultured bacterium. RNAcentral describes it as "partial 16S ribosomal RNA". It matches the Rfam family "Bacterial small subunit ribosomal RNA", at positions 28 to 507 of the family's 1533-position model. The record is from RNAcentral.
GACGAACGCUGGCGGCGUGCCUAAUACAUGCAAGUAGAACGCACAGUUUAUACCGUAGCUUGCUACACCAUAGACUGUGAGAUGCGAACGGGUGAGUAACGCGUAGGUAACCUGCCUGGUAGCGGGGGAUAACUAUUGGAAACGAUAGCUAAUACCGCAUAAUAUUGAUUAUUGCAUGAUAAUUAAUUGAAAGGUGCAAUUGCACCACUACCAGAUGGACCUGCGUUGUAUUAGCUAGUAGGUGAGGUAACGGCUCACCUAGGCGACGAUACAUAGCCGACCUGAGAGGGUGAUCGGCCACACUGGGACUGAGACACGGCCCAGACUCCUACGGGAGGCAGCAGUAGGGAAUCUUCGGCAAUGGACGAAAGUCUGACCGAGCAACGCCGCGUGAGUGAAGAAGGUUUUCGGAGCGUAAAGCUCGGUUGUAAGAGAAGAACGGGUGUGAGAGUGGAAAGUUCACACUGUGACGGUAUCUUACCAGAAAGGGACGGCUAACUACGUG